This is a long non-coding RNA of Cercocebus atys (sooty mangabey), 16381 nucleotides long. RefSeq lists it as uncharacterized. Lineage: Eukaryota; Metazoa; Chordata; Mammalia; Primates; Cercopithecidae. The transcript is spliced from 6 exons. The record is from RefSeq and is a predicted model, not a curated record.
UCUCUCUCUUUCUCUCUUUCUCUCUUUCUCUCUUUCUCUCUUUCUCUCUUUCUUUCUUUCUUUCUUUCCUCACUGAUCUCAGCAGAUCUGCUUUGCCUGGACACUAACAAUUAAUUUUUUUCUCUUGUUUUAAAAUUAGAAAAAAAAAUUUAAAGCAAAGCCCCUCUACUUUGUUGAGGUAGAGACAGAACAGUCAGCACUAGAUUAUAAUGUUAGUUUCUCCUCACAGUGGGGCUCUGUAUAGCUUCUCUGGACUGAGCAGGUCUUGGUUGACCAGCUUUGUUUAGUCUUUUUUUCUAAUGAAUUCAUUUCUGAGGAUCAUAGCAAAGAAGGAAAUGGAAGUGAGGAGUGAGAAAACGCCUCCUGCAGCAGUCUUCUUCACUCAGGCCUAUGGGAAGAGUUAUAGAACCUUCAUGCAGGUCUUCUUCCCCCCAGAGCCUUCAUUUUUUCUUUGUGCCCUCUGCCCUCCAAAAGUCAACAGAAAAUUUUCAGCAGUACUUAAUUUGAUAAGAAAUGUGAUCCAGGGAGGUGGUCUCUCCCUGAACAUCUGGAAGGGCAGACUUCUUGCCCAAGGCAGAGCCUCAAAAUAAGAUAACAGUUUAUAGGAGCUCUAAAUGAGCUAUUUCACACAAAAGUACUUUGUUUACAUUCCAAACACGAGGUCUCCAUGUGUGAGUGACUACUUUCUCAUACACAUGAUCCUUUGUCUCAUCCUCAUAAUCACCGAGUAGCUCAAUUACUGUGUGCUAGGCUAGGCACUGGGAUAGAUGUUUUACAUUCAUUACUUGGUUUUGUUUUGUUUUCUCAUAUUCUAAUGGGAGCUAAAUACAUUCAUUAUUUUUUUAAAACACUAACAGCAAUGUACUGAUGUAGUAAAUAUUAUAAAUUUCCUUUCACAAAUAUCAGAUUAAAAAAACUCCAGGAGACAAAGUCAUUUUCCUCAGGUCACAUAGGCCGUUGGUCAUAUAGGCUAAGAACUGCACCAAAAGCAUUCAUUUCUCAACCCUGUCCACUCACCCCCUAAACUGCACUGCCUCUUUAACGUAUCGCAUAAAGCCCUAGUACUUUCAUGUCAUUAAUAUUAUUAUGGUUUAUUGAGACCUCAUUAUGCACCAGACACCUACUAUCCUAGAAAGGUAGAGACAUUAUUCGAAUCCUCACAACAACCCUACAAAAUAUUUGUUAUCACCAUUGUGCACAUUUUUUCUAUGCCCAAUAAGUAGCAGAAUUGAUUUUACAAAUCAGGGUAGGUCUGUCUUCAAAAACUGCUCUCUGUCUCUCAUACUGCCUAAUGGAAGCCUAUAGUAGGUUUAAUUGUGGCCUCUCUAAAAUAUAUCCUUGUCCUAACCUUCUGUGAAUAUGACCUUAUUUGGAAAAAAGGGUUUUUCAGGUGUAAUUAAAUUAAGCAUCUAAAUAUGAGACCAUUUUGAGUCAUCUGGUUGGGAUCUUAAUCCUAUCACAGAUGCUCUCAUAAGAGACAAAAGAGGAUGACAACAGAGAGAAGAUGAGAAGCUCACGUCAACGCAGAGGCAGAGAUAGAAGUGAUAGAGCCGCAAGCCACGAUGACCUGGAGCUACCAGAAGAUGGAAGAGGCAAGGAAAGAUUCUCCACUCUAGCUUUUAGGUGGAAUCUAGCCCUACCAACACUUGAUUUCAGACUUCCAGCCUCCAGAUCUGUGAGACAGUACAUUCUUGUUGUUUUAAGCCAUUCAUUUUGUGAUUUCUUACGGGAGUGACAGGAAAAUAAUACAUAGCCUAUUUCAUUUUGAAACCACAGACUAACUCAUACCAUUUCUUUAAAAACUCAAAAUGUACCCCACUUUAUUAUGGCCAUGAGUGCCUUUGGUGUCCUCCAGCUGGACUGAUUUUCUGACUUCCUUACUCACAGCCUUUGAGGACCUCUCUUCCACCGGAGCAUCAGCCCUGGACGUGCUUUUGUGCCUUUGCUGACCUUGGUCUGGACCUUCCUUCUGCUUGUGGAACCAACUUACUAUUCCCCAAUCUUACAUUGUAAUCUGCUGACCUCAUUGUCAAGUUUAGUCUGACUGAUACCUUUCCCUAAAAUCCUGGAGGGAGAGCCCUGGCUAGAAUUAAUUGCUCUGUUUCUGUGUGCCCAGAGAGGUCUACUUAUACCUACCUCUAUGUAUUACUUAUGUCUGUCUGUCCUGUAUUGUAGUUCAUCAAUUGCCUGUGAAAUCCUGGAGCCAGGGCAAGAAUUUUUAUCUCAGUACUUCUCAUGGAGCCUGCCACAGAAUAUCUGCUGAUGCCUCCUGACUUACCUCUGGAUACCCAUGGUGUCUGACAGCACUGCACCCACAGCUCUGCAUAAAUUCUCAACCCUUUGGAGGAACGACGGAAGCUGCAGUUGCCCCCACUCAAGGCUAAGUGCCUAGACUCACUCAUGGCGAAUGAAUAUCAAGCUCCAGGAAUAUCUUCCCAACCAAAUAUGCAAACUCAAGUCUUUUGCCUGGAUCCCAUUAGGUGGUAUUAAGGUUAAGCAUUAUAGGAACUCAAAGAAGAUGCCAAUAAAGGCUGAAAUGACCAGGAAAGAUUCCUUGGAGGAGGUGAAACUAGAGGGCACAAAAUAAUAUAAAUUGAAUGCCUACUGGAAGCCAGGAGAAUUCAAGUUCUCAGCAACUAAUACUUUAAGAAGUUAUGAAGAGUUGGAUUUUCCCUGAGGAGCUAAUUAUUUGCUGAGAUUACUAUAGUAACAGAUUUUACAAGGAGAUCAAGAUUCUGGUAAAUAGCAAUUAAAAAUAACUAUAGAUGUCAUUUAAAUGGAGCACUGAAACCAUAUGAGCCUGUUCAUUUUUUUAAAAGAAUUGCCAAAUAUAUAAAUGAUUAUAUUAAUUUUGAAGGAUUUUUUAAAUUAAAAAUUUUAUAAUUAUGAAGUAACAUUUGAAUUUUUUCUGAUUGCCUAGUUUCUUGGCCUACCGUUAUAAAGGCAAUAACAUUUUAUAAUUUUCAAGUUGGCAUAUAAAGUUCAUACUCUUUCAGAAGAUGUCUUUGUAAAGCACCAAGAGUUAUAUUAUAUGGUUCAUCCAUAAUGAUCAUCCAUAUGUUGACAUCGUUGUAAAAUACUACCUUUGGGAAUAUUCCAUGGCAACAUAUGCUUUCAUGAGGUACUUUCGUAUUUUCUAGAGUAUGUGUUCUGGUAGUGAACCUUCUGUUUCUUGUCCCUGUGACCAGAAUCUAUUCUCUCUUUUUCUGGUAAGAACCAGGUUUUUGUGCAAGAGGAAACUAUUCCUCCCUUCCAAUUAGUAUAUAUAAUUCGGAUGGCCUUGAGUCCACCUUCUUAUCACAGGGUCUGAAACCCAGGCUUGCCCAAAGAGAAUACUCACAUGCUUUGUCAGGGAUGGGUGUAUGACCCAAACCAUGUUAUGGUCAGUGAGCAUAAGUCCUGCCAUAUUUUGCUGGAGCUUCGGAAAGAGAUUCUUUCUCUUCGUUAGGGUUGGUAAGCUGGGAGAAUGUCUGUGUCUAUAACCAGACAUACCCAAGGAUGUUCUAGCUACUUGCACCACUAUUUUACCUCAUUUUGAGGUGUUAUUUUACCUUAUUUUGCUUACACUAGUUUGAAUUGUGAUGAUAUCAUUUGCCAAAAAGGUUGGAAAAUUCAGAUUGAAUUUUAGAUAGUCCACUGUACUCUGGGUUAAAAUAUGUGAUUUAAUAACAAGAUAUAGUUUUACUAAGAUGAAGCCCAUGUUUUUUGUGAAGGAAAUUAUUGAAGCAAUUAUCAGGAAAAUUCAAGGAAAAGUAUUCUUAAUUACAUAUUUUCCACCUAAUUAUUUGCAUUUUAAAAAUUUUUAGUAGAAUAGUAUAACUUUGACUAAUAUUAAUCUUGAAAGGAUGAAAGGAAAGGAGCAAAAGUAAAAUGUCAGGAGCACUAGAUUAAGAGUGAGAAAAUGAAUUCUGCUGGGUGGAUGUAAAAGGGAAUACUCAAAAAGCAUGGAGUUGAGCUCUACUGGGCAACUAGCUUAAGAUCCAGUGGUCUGGCUGGGCAGACAUUCCAAGCCUGCUUUGGUAGGCUUCUGUUUCCUCUUCGUUCCCCUCAAUAUGCUCUUGUAUCUUGGUGACAUCUUAAUAUUUUUUAAAUCAGUAGCAUAGUUUCCUACAGACCUUUCUGUUAUGAAACAGUCUUUAUAGUCUCCUUUUGUGAUUAGGAUUUAAUAAUUCAGUUACAGCUGGGAUUCUUCAUCUCCCCUCUCUUUGCUAUGUAGGAUUUAUGUAAUUUGGAGGUUAUCUGUAAUGAUGUCUUUGGGCAUUGUGAAAACCGUGUAAUGAGUCUCAGUGAUAAAUCUGACCUAGAGAAGUUAGAAUUACCUAGGAUUCUUCUGGGAAUAUUUUUCACUCCUAACUGGAUAGUGUGCUAUAGCAAACAAAGUCAAUCCUCUACAAGUCAAGAUGCUUAGAUCUUGAAAAGAAAUAUCAAAUCUCAUCUCUUUUGUGUCUCUUGAUAAUGGCCCCUACUCAGCUUUUUAUGGAUUGUGGUUUGCUAAGGUUAUAGUUGGAGGAAGAGCACAAACUGGGAGUGAAUUGGGAAACAUGUUACUGUGUGUGCGUGUGUGUAUAUAUAUAUUUGUUAACAUAUAUAUUUGUUAACAUAUGUAUAUACACAAAUACACACACACACAUUUAUAUAUGUCAAUCUCUUGUUUAUUAUGAAGGGUUGUGAUGUGACCUUGCUAACCCAUAUAUAAUAAUAUGAAGAAAGUCUCUUGAGUACCUGAAAACUAGAUGUAUCUCUUUUGUCUGUUUGUCUAUGCCCACUGACUACUUGGAGGUCAAAACUACUAAGCAGUGCCUGUUAUUAGUAACAGGUUCUAUUCCUGUUACUAAGUAGCCUUGACCUUGAGCAAGGCACUUUCCUUAUCUGGAUAUUUGCCACAGAUAUUUUAAGUUAUAAAUUUUUUAUUCUACGGGAAUCUUUUGUAGGUCAUUCUAAUCUUAACACCAGAAAUAUUUUGAGCUGAAAAGUGUAGUCAUAUUAUUUGAUAUUUGAGCUGAAAAGUGGGUAGUCAUAUUAUUUCAGUUUCUUUAGCAUUUCUUUCUUGCUUAAUUAUCUAAUGUUGUUCUCUGUAUCCUUGGGGGAGCACAGCACACUACAUUAACAUAAAUAUUCUAACUAGAGAGAAAACAGUGAUGAAUCCAUUAUUCUAUAUGCUUAUCAAGAAAGAUUACUCUGAGUCAGAGCAUCCUUCUGAGACAUUUUGUUUAUUUUUGAUACAGGUUGUCCUUCAUGUAACCUCCACCUUGAAUUCUCUCACCUUGGUGAUCUUCAAACUAGAACACUAACAGUGGUGGCUUCCCAUGGGGCCUUAACACAAUGAUUGCAUUGAUUCCUGUGGGGGAGAAGGACAGAGAGAAGCAGUGCUUGCUGUUUUAAAUGGAAGCAGGUCUGGAAGGGACGAUAUGCUGCAUACUACUUUCAGGUAAGAGAGGUACUCACUAUGCUCACCAGUGGCUUCCUUUAGCAGAACUGGUCUUACAUAAGAAGAGAGUAGGCAGCCACCAACAAAUAUGGUUUAAGGGGUUCAGGCAGGGCUCCUGUUUUUCAGUAUGUUUUCUCUUUACUCUUUGAUGUGUAAAAUUUCUUUGAGGUCAGAACAUUCCUCUGAAAUUAAAAAAAAAAAAGAAAAAAACCUUUGUGAGGGUAUAAUAAAUAGAACUGUGAGUUGGGAGUCAGGAAACAGAAUUCUUUCUUCUGUUUUGUAAGUACAUCACUGGCUCUGUGAACUCAGCUAAGUCCCUUAACCUUUCUGUGACUUGGUCUCCACAUCUGUAAAAUGACUGAGUUCAGAAAUGGUUUCUGUCAUCCUUUGCAGCUCAAAAAUCUGGACUAUUGAUGGAAAUUCAUGCUAAUUCAUAAAUGACAGGUGUCAUAUUGUUUCUUAGAAUUCAUUGGAUGGGAAGAGAGAAGUAGACAAAAAGGAAGAUAAGUAUCAAGGCUAGGAGAAUCUGAAAGUGGCCUGGGGACACAGAAAAGAUGAAUAUGCUUCUUUACAAUUUUACCUCUCAUGUGUAUUACCACUGCAUCUGCAGCAUUGCAUAAAAUGACAUGAAAUACAGGAGGAGGCUUGCAGUAGUCUAAUAGCAAUAGUUUAAUACUUUCAUUGAAAGACAAACUUCAAUUCUGAUCCUGUUUCUGCCACUUAUUAGUGACUACAGGAAAUGACUUAAUAGUUUUGAGCCUCAAUUUAUACAUCUGUAGAAUGGGGAAGGAAGGAAGGAUUUAUAAGGAUUUAUAAGCUGGUUUUUGCCCUCUGGAUGACGUUGUGUCUCUCUAGUACAGAAGAUCAUGAGCUCUGCUCUCUGCAGGAUAUUAACUUGAGAGAUAGAGGGAAUCAUCAGACAUGCUAAUACUUUGGCAGUUUCACCAACAGUUAAGCUACAUUAGUACUACUCAGUGCUGCAUCAUUUCAAAGAUAGCAUGCAGUGCUAAUAUCUUUCGAAUCAGCAACAUUUUCCAAAAGUAGUGAUGCAUCAUAGAUCUUAUCAAUAUCACUGAAAAUGGACUCAUAUCUAGGUAUAUGAAAAGUUAAAGCUUAAUUAUGGAUAAUUGCUGUGCAGUAAACAUAGUCUGUGUUCAUGUAGCAAACAGUUUCAAAUAACUGAAACCAUUAUUUUGAAGAGAAUAGUCUGAAGUGAAAUCCACAUUUAUUAUUAAUGUUCCUGAUGUUGUCAGAAAAGCUCAAUAUUUUCUUGUAUUCUAAUUGGUUUGUUAAGUGUAAAGCUUCAACCAUAGAGAAGAAAACAUCUCAGAAUAUAUCUUUAGUUGACUAUGAAAAUUCAUCAUUCCAUAAUGUAUUUUUUACACCUUAGAGAGGACUUGAUGAUUAAAAACUCCUUUUAUAAUUAUUGAUAUUUUAAUUUAAAAGCUCUUUAGAGCCUUUAAUACUUCUUUAGAAAUCAUGAAUCCCAAUUCUUCCAGUGAUAUGUUACCUUAACUGACUACCUCUAAACCAAGAGAAGUUGCAUUUCAUCUUAACUCUGAGGAUGACAGAUUUUGAAAACCUUAAAACUUCUUGAGCAGUUUGGAUCUAAUAUGUGGACCUCUUAAGUGGAAAAUGCUGUGACUUUUCAGCUCCAGCUAUUAUAGAAUCAUCAGAAUUUAUUCCUCCUUUUAUUUCUGCACAGUAGGAAUAGUAUUCAAAUUUCCUGCAGCUCAUUGCUGCAAGAUGAGGCAGAUUACAUAUACCUACUAUAAAAAGUUUGUGUGGGAAAAUAUGCAAGUUUCCAGUAAUUUUCAUUACCCAGUUUAUCCAUUCAUAAAUACCUUCCAGUGAAACAAUGCAAUAUAUACUUUGUAAGUAUUACAUGUUUCCUUAUUAGAAUUGAAAAGGAGAACCAUAAAAUAUAACUGGCCACCUCCUUCUUGGUCAUUAUAGUGCAUUUACUGGUGAUACUACCAAGAAACAUACAUUAAGCUCCCAUCCAAUAGAUGUUUUUCUUUAUGAGAAGAACAAUGUAUACAUCUUCCCUUUCUUUGUAACCUCUAAUGCCAUGUACCUGUGUGAAGAGGGGAAAUCUAGACUCAUUCAGGAGCUCACUGAUGAGCACAACAAGGACCCAACUUGCAGCAUCCCUACAACAUCAUUUUAUUGAGACAAUUGUUAUUUAUCAGCAGAAGCAGCAGUGGGCUGUUUGUUUCAUAAGAAAACUCCCCAGCUCUUAUUUAAUUACCUUGGAGGACCUUAUUCUCAGAAACAACACUAUAAUGAGUGUACCAUCAGACACCAGAUUUAUUUCCUGAAACAGAGGGGAUUUGAAAUGUACAGUAAACAGAGAGUUCCUGUGAGCAGAGAAUCCAAACAGUGGAGAGAGCUUACUAAUGUAGGGCAUGGUAUUUGACCUCUUUUAAUUGGUUAAAAUUUCAAAAUUGGCUACAGUUUCAAAAGCAAGGCUGUGAGGAAGAAGAAACAGCAUGGGUGGUGAUGGAAGAAGUGACUGGAUCUCUAGAAACAACUUGAACUCUUUCUGCUCUGCAGCUUGUUGAAUCCUUUGAAGAUUUUUCUGCAUUGUGGCUAGGUUGCUAUGCUGAUUAUGAGACAGAUCCUGGUUAUGAGCACAUCACAGGGUGACGGUCUUGGUACAUGAUUGCAUUAUUGUUUUCAAGUAUUCACUGUGUAUCAUGAAGUUGUUAUCAGGUAAGUCUUACCUAGAUAGACAUCCUUGCUUUGACAAAAUAAGUUCUUAAGAGAUUCGUUUGUUUUAUUUUGGCUGAUGUGAAAUAAUCAGAAUGACAGAAAGAAUGAGAAAGAAAAGAAUCAGACAGGAAGAAUGAGAAUCACUGUAUAUGUGAUAUUCACAAAUCUUGGCCUCUUUUUCCCGAAGGUAGCCAGAUCUUUUGUGUUCUUUGUGUCAAGGGCAUUUAUCAAACUUAAAGUAGAAGCUGCUUGAAAAUAAAUUUUCUAAUUGCCUUUUGUGACUGUUAUUGAGAAAGGGGAGGCAGAAGAGGGAGAGAGAUGAGAAAUUCCCUAAAGUAGAAGUAGGGCAGAGAAUGACAUGAUAGGUGCCAAGUGUAUCAGAGACCAGCACCAUAAAGCUUGGCAGCAUGCCAGGUAGCGGGCUCUGGAAAGAGAAUGGUGGUGUGUCCAGACUGGGAUCCCUAGGUAAGCUGGUCAAAGGUGAUCCUUUUUUCUAGGCUCACUUCCCUAGGGUCAGCCCCCUGGCUUGGCCUGGUUUUUACACUGGAGUCUAAAGACAUCUCCAGAGCAUGAUGAAGGAAGGGUGGAAAUACUCCUAAGGGUUGAAAUUCAACCUCCUAUCAACUUGGCAGAACAGGGGCUUGUAUUAGAUUUUCAGGGCUGCCAAAACAAAGUACCACAAACUAGGUGGUUUAAACAACAGAAAUUUGUUCUUCCGUAGUUCUGGAGGCCAGAAGAUAAAGGUAUCAAUAGGGUUGCUUACUUCUGAAGGCUGUGGGGAAGAACUUGUUCUAUGCCUCUUCCCUAGUUUUUGGUGAUUGGUUGUUAAUCUUUGAUAAUUUUUGGCUUGUAAGCCUAUCACCCUGAUUUCAGUCCUUGGCUUAAUCAACUAUGUACAUAGUGAUGCCACUUGCUGAGAUGGGGAAGAUUGUGGGAGGGACAGAUCUACACAGGAAAUAUCAACAAUCAUAUUUUGGCCAAGUUCAGACUGAAGUGCCUAUAGGCACAUAGAUAAGGAUGUCAAGCAGUUAGCUGAACAGAUAAGUUUUGGGCUGAAUUAAGAGGUCAGGGCUAGAGAGUCCUUGUUGUACAUAUUAUAUUUAAAACAGAGGUCUAGAUGAGGAUGAAUGUAGAGCUUGAAGAAUGUAGGCACAGAAAAGAAGACUAAAGGAAAGCUUGGUAUAGUCACACUUCAAUGACUGAAACAGGAGAGAGAACUAGCGAAAGUGAUUGAGAAGUAAUGGUCAGUGAGAUGGAAGGCAAAUCGUGAGAAAUCAAGAGAAGGGAAUAUUUUAAGAAGGAGGGAGUGGACAACAAUGAUAAAUACUGCUGAGAGGUCAAAAGAGAUGAAGAGAGAGAUGAUCAUUUGAGUUGGAAAUAUGGAAGACACCCUGUUGAGACUGGUUUCAGUGGAAAGGGAAGGAGUAGUAUGGUGGGAAAGAAGCCUGGUUUUAGAGGAUUGAGGGAGAAUAGAAGGAGAAGAAGUAGAGACAGCAGCUUAGAGAGCAGAGAAACAUGGAUAUAUAGAGCUAGAUGGGAUUAUACUUCAGUGACAAAAAUCAACUAAAAGCUUCAAACAAAAUUGGUUUGUUUCUUGAUCACAUUCCAUGACAGUAGCUAGAGGUCAGCUAUGCCCUGUACCAUGUGUCUUAUGUCUGGACACAAGCUGACAGAGUUCCCCCAGUCUGGGGCACAUCCUUUUGAUAGAAGAGAGAAGAAGCAAGAGACAGAACCAUGCCAUGCAAUGUCUCAAAUCUUCAGCUUGAAUUUGCCAUACUACACAUUUACACACAUUCCAUUGACCAAAUCAAGUUACAGGCCAAGCCCAAUGUCAAUGGGUAGAGAAGUACACUCCUUCUGUAAGGCACUUCACUGCCUAUGGUAAUGUGCAGAAAUGAAGAAAUAGUGAAUACUUGAAGACAAUAAUGCAAUCUAUCCCCUCACCUCUGCAACCACCACAUACACACACCUUUCUUUUUUUUUUUUGGUGGGUGAUAUAGACCAUAUUUGCGUGCUGUUGGAAAUAAUGCAGUAGAUCGACUAAUUGAAGAAAAAAUCCUGUGAGGAGGUGAGGUUGCUUUCUUAGGGGUAAGAAUAUUAUAUUAUUAACAGGAAGAAAGGUAUAGAGAGAGUACAGAAACUGAAAGGUUGGUAUGCUUGCCAUGUUUUUUAUAUGAUGACUUCUUGAUUCUAAAUUUUGGUUCUGUUUUUGCUUCCGAAUAAUGUGUAAGAUCAAGGUACUUGGGGAGUAUGUUUUCUGAAAUUGGAAUGUUUAGACAUCUUUUGUUGCCUGUUGCCUUCAACAAAACAAUUUGAUGGAUCUGGAAUUAUUUUUUUAAUCUCCAAAUGUCUAGCCAUGUUGCUACAUUGUCGUAUAGUAGUAUUUCGGUUAUAGAGGUGUUUAAUACCAUGAUCUCGUUAUCUCUAGGACAUGCCCCCCACGGGUUAUAGCAGCUCAAUGCCUACUUAUUGAACGAGUGCAUGCAUGAACUGCAUGCAUUACAUUUUUUCAGACAACUCUUUAAUGGCUCAUUCUUUAAUAUUUUUAAUUAGAUCAUCUUUUUUAGCUCUGGCAGAGUAAAAUGCAAUUCUCUUUGAUGAAUACUAAGUAUGAAAGGAAAAAAUAAGUGUUAUAAGCAUGUAUUUUGAGAAUGAAGUCUUGUAAAAUGUAGAUAGAUCAGGUACAAUUAAAAACUAACAUGUAGGUUGUAGUCUCCUUUCUUGCCUGAGAGAGUAUGAAGAAAAUCAUGUGUCUAUUAAGGUGGUAAAGCAGCAAGGCUUUCGGGGUGAAAACUAGAUCUUCCUUACAGUCUGUAUAUUAAGAUCAUCAAUCUUAGUAAUAACUUCUACUAGAUGAACAAAUAUAAGAGAUUUCACCUACCUAGAGUUAAGAAAUGAACUCACUUCCUUCUCAUAAAAUAUCCUUUGCUUCAUAGCAGUGGUAAAACGUGGUAACUCAAGUAAUUAUCAUUGAAGAAUGAGAACACCUACUUAAAGCAUCCUUGCAUAGAUGGCUUCCUUGCCCUCUUCACUGAGCAAAGCCGUUGGGAUUGGAGAGAUGGGUGUGAAUGCUCAAGUGUGUGGCACUUCAAUAUGCCAUGGCAUUUUUCAGUAAGUUUUGAGCUAUUGAGUUGCUACUUGUCUUCUUUGAAAACCAUGAUUCUUAAUUAUAAGAAACCCAUUUUGACAAAGAUUGAGAGCAGCAGAGACUUAAGUGGAAAGUUAACUGUCAGAAUAUCAUCUGCCCCGGCCCCCCCACCCCCAUUUUUCUGUGUUCUGGAGAGUAUUUGGGAACAAAGUUCCAAUUUCAUAGCUAUUGCUCUUUAGUAUAUUAAUUGGCAGUGAUAGGAGGGGGAAGUUCAUGACAUUUCUGCCCAAUAACUUUUAAAUUAUUCCUAAAACAAAAAAAUCACUUGGUUCAUUUUUGAAAUUUAGGUGUUGUCUAACCAAUAGGAAGCUCAGGGACCUCUGGGAGACAGCAAGCCUUCUUCUGUAGUUUGGCCGUAGAGAGACCCAGGUUUGAAAAAUGAUUCUGUCACCUACUACUUGACUGAAAUUGGGAACGAUUUUUGUUUUCUUUUUGGAGGCUGGUUUUACUCAUGUAUAAAUAUGAAUAUUAGUGUUUGUCUUAUUAACUCAUCUAUUUACUCUUUUAAUUAUCACUGAGUAGUUACCAUAUACUCAUCCCUGGUUUGUGGAUACUAAAAAUGCAAAUAACAAUAGCUAACAUUUGAUGAGUAUUAACAAAAUAUAAGCCACUCUGAAUACAUCUCUUUUAUUGUUCCCAUCAGAUUUGUGAGAAAAAUGGAUUACCAUUAUGUUCAUUUUACAGAUAAGAAAGCUGCACUUAGAGUUCAAGUACCUUGUCCAAGUUACAUAAAUUAGGAAGCAUGGAGCCGAAAUUCAAACCAAGACAGUCUUCAGUUGAGAGUUUAUUUUCUUAACCACUGUGUUAUACUGCAAAGGUGUAAUGAUACACUCUCUGCUUGCUAGUAUGGACACAGACAAGAAAGUAAGCAAUUAUAAUAAAUGGAUGUGCGAAGUAUCCAGGCAUUGUAGAGGAAAAAGCAUUUACUUCCUUAGAAUCAACUUUAUUUUGAGAUCCAAGAUCCUGAUGAAUCUACAGAAGUCUUAUCUGAUGUGUUGGAUUUUGUGCUGAUAUCAAAGCCGUUGGCAUCAGAAACACGCAUACAUACUAUAAUUUUGGAAAUGUCAAUAUUUAACAUCAGUCACUCUCUAUAAAAAUUCAUGAUGUUAUAGUGAUAGAGUACCAGAAAUCUUACCAAAUUUCUGCUACUAGGAAAUACUUAGCACAGGCCGCCAUUUACAUUAAGAAGAUGAUUAGACUAUUUUAAAGAUUCUGAUUUUGUUAAUGACUGAUGCUAUUAAGAAUACAAUUCACAGAAAAUAUGCUAAAAAUAUUUUCAUUAAUCAAGUGCAUAUUUUAAUAAAAACCAAAACAUAAUUUUUAUAAGCACAUUAUAGGAGGAUGUGAUGUGUGAACUGUACUAUAAAGGCACCGAUAAAUCAGAAUGAAACAAAUGAAAAUAAUUAAUUUUUAAUGACUUGAAGUUUGGGUCAGAAAAAAAGUGAAAUUAGAACGUUUUGAAUUAGUAGCAGACCGCGAGCUUGAAGACCUCGAUAACAAUCCACCCUUUGUAUGUACGGUGUGCUAUUAACUUGAAAGCAAAAAUGGCCUCUGUAAAACAUUGCCUUUUGUUAAUUAGACAACUUUGAGCCUUUGAACAUGAAUCAUUAACUACUGAUAUUGCCCUAAGGCCAAAUAUUUGUGAUCUCCUGGGGCUCUGAGAGAGAAAGAAGAAAAAAUGAUGAGGAAAGGAAAGUGCUUAUUUCUCAGUUUUAGAUUAUCCAAUUAUUUCAAGUAGAGAAAUAUCAUUAAUAAGGUCACUUAAAAUAGAGUAAGUGGGAAAAUAGGAAGACAGCAUCCCUGUUUCAGGCAUGGAAUUUUAUGACAAUUACAAAAGCCUAGCAAUCUAUCAUUUUAAUGGUGGCAGGAGAAUAGUGGGUUGCAAGCUCCUCUGUGUGAGGAAGAUGUGACAUGUACCAGUAACAUCUCUAUUACUACAAAGUAGGGGACCCAGCUUUCAAGCAAAGCCUAGCUACUAUUAUUAAGGACUUCUGUGAUGUUCUUGGCCAUGUGAGACUGUAGAUUGAAAGGGAAAUUUCAUUAUAUCUUUAAACAUUUAAAUACUUGGCUUCAUAGUUCACUGAUCUUGAGCAGCCUGACUCUCAUUUUGAUUCAGGUUUCCUUUGUUCCUUGGUUAUUUAUUGAUGGUGCCUUUCUCAUUUAUUGUGUCACAUUGAGAGGCGCUCCCUCCCUAAAUGUAGAAUUACUCUGGUGUGCUGAUUUUGCCAGUGAUGUGACAGAUUUCCUGGGAUCAUUUGUAGGAUUAUCUCUUUGAAGCUCUGGUGUCAGGAUCCACUGCACACGUGGUGAGGAGAGUAUUCUUUAUCUGCAAAACUACAGAUUACUAGGAAGAGCCUGCUUUACUCUGCUCUUACAGCUCUUUUGUGGCCUCUGUUCCUAGGAAGCAAAAGAAGUAGAGGUGAUAGGUAAGGACCAAAGUGUUCUCCACUCUGUUCACAUCAAGAGACUUCAGCACCCAGAGACUAUAAGCAGCAGCUGAGGAGAAAUGGAGUGAAGAGGUAGUGUCAAGGAGAAAAUGGCUCUGAAAUACUUCACAAUAUAGAAAGUGCUGUAUUUAAGGAUUGUAGGUAUUAGUAUUAUUUUUAUUUCUUGCUUUGACAAUUUAAAUUUCCUGUGCUUCCUCUGAAAUGAAGCAAGGGACCAGGCUGUAUUUUUCCUUCUAACACUUUUCUCUUCCCUGCCACUUUCUUUCCUCUUUGGUACUUUUCAUGCUAUGCCCCUUACCCCUCCUCUAAUAAUGAGGUCCAGUAAGCGGCGAAUAGAAGGUCUGGGCAGAUCCACUCCCUGUCUCUGUUCCAUGACCCCUGCCCCUUCAAACCAUGAGAAAACUAAUGGUGAUCUUGUCGACUAUUCCUAUGUUCAGAACCUUCCACAUGAGUCACAGCUAGUUUCUACUCCAGCAUCCCAGCCCUGUAAGUGCCUCUCCCAAUGUCCUCUCCCUCAUAUCUAGCUUUUUCUGUGGCCUAUUCUUUGUCUCCAUUGGCAGGUACUUUCUUUUUUUUCUUUUUGGUCUCUUUAUGUGCUCAAUUUUAAUAAAAAUCAUGGCCCUUUUGCACUGUUAGAGGCAUUUUGUCAUAAUCUUCAGGCAAUAAAAGAGAGAAACAUUUCAAAUGAAAGCAACAGGGACUGUGCCCAGAUCAUCUUUGUUGGAUACAUGCCAGUUUGCACAGCUAAUGGUCUUCUUUGUGCAUGGGUGGUUAUUAGAUGUUUAAUGACCAUUGCUCUGUUAGAACUCUAGAUGGUCUUAGCUCUGGGUGAACAGUUUAAAAUCUGGCUGCGUUAGCAAAUACCUCAUUGUAAGAAGACAUAUUUCUUUCUAUUUCUAAGUGAGGACACAAGGAAGAUUUAGUUUUUUAUUAUUGUGGGGGAUGAGAUUCGGUGGGACAGUGGAUCUGUUCCAUCAAUAAUUCUUAUUGAAAGACUGCUAGGUAAGGAUAUCAUAAGCACCUGGGUAUUUAGAAUGAAGGGUGAUAUAAAUAGAAAUAAAUCUUGUUUAUAAUUUUAUUUGUGGAGGAAACACAUAAUUUCUUGAUCAGAGAUUUUGGGAUUCUGUUUCCUUCUGUUUCCCUGGACCUAGGAAAGGACUUGGUCCAUAAUGGAUACUCAAUAAGUGUCCUAGCCAACUACAUAGUGAAUGAAUGAAUGCAAAAUGUAAACACAGGAAGAGAAAUACAUGGCAAGCAGAAGGUAAGUACUCAGACACUGCUAAUGAAACCAUCAGUCAAGGAAAGCCAGCAGUUCAGUGGCAGUAUCUCUGGUAGAAAAGGUGAAUAUACAUGGAAAGCAAGUAGUUUUCUUUUUGUGACCUCUCUGUGCCUCCGUUUCUUCAUCUGUAAAAAUAAACAGUCUGAAUAAGAUCAAUAUUUUUAAAACUUUAGCUUUGUGCAUGAUAAUCACCUUGUUGAAGAGUAAGUUUGGGAAUCUACUCCCAGAUAAUCUGAUCUGGUGGUUCUGGGGUAGAGGUUAGGAGUCUACGUUUUUCAAAAGCCAUGUUCAGUUACCUCCAUGGAUUGAUGGCCAGUCUUUGAGUUGGCUGACCUUGGGUCAAGCGUACAGAGUUCUGGCUGGAGUGAAGCUAUUCAAGUAUACAGAAGAUGGCCUUCCCAACUCAAAGAACUGCUUUUCUCAAAACAGGCUGUGAGUGUAGCAAGCACUAUGACUGACCUACCCACUUCAGUAUUAACCAACUUGGCUCUCACAUGCUCACGUGGUAGAAAUGGCCUUGCUCAAAGCACCAAGAUUCUUCUGAUGGAGCUGAAGUCACAAUGGGUUUGGCUGCUUCCUGUUCUGGUGAGGCACUUCUGCCUUCCAAAUGCCAUGCUUUAUGCUAACAAAACUGACAAGACUCUGUGUCAGCCUUUGCUGAUGUUAUUGCUGAAAAACUGGUACCUGUUUUUACUUCAUCUUGUACCUUCCUAAGUUCUUUUCAGUUGAGUUGAUGGACUGUGGCACUCCUGACUUGAGCUCAAGUACAUAUGCCUUAAGUAAAAUGGCAUUUAUUUUCCUUAUCUUUCACUUUUAAUGUAAUUUUUACAGGAAUACACUUUGUAGUUUUAUAGCUAGGAAAAAAGUGAAUGAGCCCAGGUAGUCUUGUUAAAUACCUCUCUUCUCUGGGUGUAAUGGAAUUUUUAAAAAAAAUUCUGAUAAAUCUCUCCAAUCAGCUUGACAUUCCUCCCAUCUCUUCUUUAGGUGACUCUUAUUUCCUGGUUGGUGAAGAAUAUCUAUGGCAUUCCAUAAGUGCUUCUGUCUUAACAGGGUCUUGUGAAACAUUUAUUAUUGUUCAUUGGCUCCAGUUGCAAAUAUUGUAGUAAGAGUUCAUUUCCAUGAUAUGUUUUGGGAACUGGGGUGAUGCUGACAAAAGAGCACAGUGCCUGGCACAUAGUAGAUACCCAUAAAUGCUGUUGGAUGAACAGAUUAAUGCCUAAGUUGGGGAUGUCAAGUCCUGACUCUGCUAUUUAUGAGUUCUGCCUUCUGAGGCAACUCAUUCAGCCUUUCUGAACUUCAGUUUCCUAAUCCAUAAAUGAGUUCAGAUUAGGUGGCCUCUUUCUGCUAAAAAAAAAAAAAAAAAA